This 4676-nucleotide long non-coding RNA is filed under the name Sus scrofa (pig). Its description in RNAcentral is "lncRNA (ENSSSCG00050076901.1)". Lineage: Eukaryota; Metazoa; Chordata; Mammalia; Artiodactyla; Suidae. The record is from RNAcentral.
CUAGGACAACAAUUGAAGAUAGCAGAGAACGUGUACAGAGACACCUGCCCUAUAAGUGCCCAGGGAACAGCAGGACCUGCAGAGUAGAAGAGACAGCCUCCUAGGAGAACCUUAGAGACAGCAGGGACCAAGACAGAUGGGCUCCACACAGCAAGGGCAUUGUAAGUUCCAGGGCUCUAAAAACAUAGAGAACCAUUCACCCCUCAUAUAGAGAACUCCUUUUUAGAAAUAAAAUAACAAAAUAGAGAAGCCCCAGUUAACAGAUUGAGAAAGAAUUUCACCACAAUGAACAACAAUUAACACCAGAGGCUUUAUGAGAAAAUUUUCCAGAGGCGUCACUAAUAUUCCUAGAGAAAACAGAAUUGAGCCAUGAGAAAGUCAUGCAGUCAAGAAUAAGCUCAGACAUCACACUUUUCUUUGCUUUUGACCAUGGGGCAUCAUUAGCUCCUUGCCAUGGCAUCAACAGUAGGGGAAGCAGGAGAUAUUUGAAGGGACUCACUGUUAUCACAGAGCAAAAGUUCACCUGCACUGGCCUUGCAUUUGUGUAGCAACAAUGGGAGAGAGUGAGAGGACAGGUGUGCUCAGUCCGAGCCACUGGCCCCAUGGGUCCUUUAUCUGAGUGUCGGAUGAGGGUGCUGUCCAGUGGGCUGAAACAAGAAUAACCAAAUAAGGAAGCUCUAGAACAAAAUGAGGAAUGGUGGUGUGCCAGAGUCUCCAGGCUAGAGAUUCUUAGCACCAAAAUACUCAGUUUAUCCCCAAGAAGGAGACUGUGCCAGAAGGGAUUUAUUCUAGUCCUUUGCUUGGUAUUAGUUCAUGAGCUCACGUCCUUGGAGGCAUGCGGCAGAGACUGGCUCUGUCUCAUUUAAGCAACACAGAAGUGUUGGAGGGUCUGCCGCUUAGUGAACAGGGUGGCACCUGUGUGGAUAUCUGUGCCCGGGGCUUUGGAGAUACUGGCACCAGGGCUCCUCCACCAGCCCUGGAACAGCACUGGAGAUCCUGAAGACCAUUACUCAAGGCUGCUGGUUGACAAGCAGGUUGACCUUAAAGGUCUUUGCGGGGAUCUAGACUACACGAUAGAACAGGCUAUCUCUAGGCUGUAGAUGUCUGAUUUUGAUUUUGUGCAUAAGGAGCCUACCAUGCUAUGGGUGUCCCUCCUGGCCACAUCCCAGCUAAGGUAACUUUGACCCUUCACACAAUUCCCUUCUGAACCUCAUUUCUUAUCCCUCCCAGCUAAACAGCCCACUAUUUACAGAGCCAACAAAAAAUGCGAACAAUAAGAUGUGGCAGGGCCUGGAUGGCAGGAAUUGAUGCAGCCUGUGCUCAGCUCAGAGCAGUGCCAUGGCCCCCAGCCUUUGCCUCAUUCAAACGAAAGCCAAGGACAUAGAGGAAGACCAGGCCACAGAGUCUCUCUGACGAGGAGGCUGCCUCUCAAAGGGCAGGGAGACGAAUCAGGGACAAUUGUCAAUAGCACCUAAUUGUGAUUUGCUCCAAUUUUCCCAGUAAUAGUUACUCUGCAGUGCACUGCUAGCUCCAGCAAUGAAUAUUUAACAAGAAAAUAUGUCAUCAGAACAAGCCCCCACAGCAAAGGAAUUAAUAUUAAUGGGACGAAAAUUGAGCCUCCUUUUGAACUCUUGGAGAAGACUGAAAAGGUAGUGAUUAUUAAAGAACUCAGCCAGUCUCAAAACUGACCUUGACCUGGGCAGGGCUCAGCAGGAACCCAGAGAAAAGCCAUUAAAUAUUCAGCAUGGGUCUCCCUCCAGCCCUAUUUGGGGCCUAGACCUCCUGACACCUUGCAUUUCAAAGCCAAUCUGCAUAGAGGCUGACGGGGGCCUUGGAAGAGAGCAGGGAGCCAAGAGGAGAGCAGGUGAACGAGGUUGCCCUGGGCCCCAGAGCUGGAUUAGGACCAGAUGGAGCUGGGGUCACUCCACGCCCUCCUUGGAGGGCUCACCCACUUCUGCGGGCUGUAAUUAGGAGCACAGCCCACAUUUCUUAACAACAAGCCCAGAUCUUUACAAACCUCCAAAACAGACCUCGGCACAAGGUGGAUGCGAAGUAAAGAUGAGAUCACUUCUGGACCUCUCAACACUUCUGCCAAAGGAAGGAAGGAAUGGGUGGAGGAGCCGUGCGCUCACCUCCUGUGGGAACAUCCAGGCCGCCCCCCUGGCACCAUUGGUGUUGGAUCUUCUCCAUCCCGCAAGUGGCACUUGGAUUUGUCCACCUCAAGUUCGGGUGAAGGGAGCCUCAGUCAAGGAGAAUCUGACGGAUUUGAUCUUGUCAAUCGGUAGGCGCUCAGCAAACGAGCGUGUACACCUUCACUUACUUCUUCUUUUGAUAAAUGUUUUCUGGAUACCUAACAUACGCAACUGCUGGUCUAGUCUUCAAAUACACCAAAAGCAUUUCCUUCAUAAUGUCUCCUCUUUCUAGGGAAUUAGAUGGAUGGAGGGUUAGCUGGAGGACAAAGGAAAGCCAGGGGAGAUUCUUUACAGGAUAAAGAAACAAAUCAUGCUUAUAUGCCAUUGGAAAUAAGACGAUCGAGGGGGGGAACUGAGAGUAUCGGAGUUAGAGUGGAGGAUGUCUGGAAAACAACAUCCCUGAGGAGGUGAGGGGAUGGGGUUCUAAAGAACAAGGGAGGAGGUGUCCUUGGAUGGAUACGUAAAAAGAUAAUCCUCAGUUGGAUGGGUGAGUGAAUGUGGGAGUGGAUGGAUGGUUAAAAGGAUUAAUAAAUGAAUAGCCCGGUGAGUGGAAGAAUGGAUGGAUGGAAGGAUUAAUGAAUGGAUGGAUGGAUGGAUGGAUGGAUGGAUGGUUGGAUCGUGACUGGUUGAAGAGGAUGGAUGGAUGGGUAGGUCGAUGGGUGAGUGAGAGGAUGGAUGGGUGGAGGGAUGGGUAGAAGGAUUAAUGAUCAGAUAGGUGGAUAGGUGGGUGGAUGGAUGGAAGAAUGGGUGGUUGGAUUGGUGUAUGGGUGGAUGGAUAGAAGGAUUAAUGAUCGGAUGGUUGGGUGGGUAGGUGGAUCGAUGGAUGAGUAGGUAUGUGAAUGAAUGGAUGGGUGGAUGGGUGGGUGGUUGGUGAAGGAUGGGCGGGUGGGUGGAUGAGUGGAUGGAUGUUGGAUAGACUGAUGGGUGGGUGAUGGAUAGUGAUGUACUUUGAAUGGAUUAAUAAGUAUUCAUUCAUUUGGGUGGGUUCUAGGAGCUUAGUUAUAACCUUUCACCCCAAAAUCUCAAGGAUCUAAAACCUAGAAGGACUGACAAAAUUUAGCUGAAGACACCUGAGAAGCUGACAGGGACAAAGGGGUCAGGCAUCGACCCCUAGAGAUGCACUGGUGAUGUCAGCCGUGAAUUAAAGAAUGAGACCCUCCUACACUGCUGCUCUUCUCUCACUGCUCAGAAAUUACCUUUCUAGAAUACCAACUUAAUCAUAUCGCUUCCCUGCAUGAAAUCCCUCCCUGGCUUCCCUUUGCCCUUAGGAUAAAACACAGAAUUCUUACUGCGACCUACAAAUCUCACUGUCCCAGCUUCUUCUCCACGGGUUUGGAAUGGUGACUACAGCCUAAGGAUCCGCCCCAAAGCCUGGUAGGUGGAAAGAACAACAACCUCAUUUCUUACGGAGCCUCUGAGCCAGGUGGGUGGUUCUAAUGAGGGCCAGGCCUGGGUUCACACAGGCAUCUGGGUCAGUUGGCAGGCCAGCUGGGGACUGGCUGGCGUAGGAUGGCUUUGGCUUGCGGAACCGGCCUCUGCCUGGGCUUGUUCCCAGGGCUGUGGUGGAAUUGAGGGAGACAGACAGACAACAGAGAGAGAGAUGAGAGCAAGAGGGGGAAGCCCAGCAGCUUCUUGAGCUGUGGUCACUUUCUCCACACGCGGACAGCCAAGCAAGGCCCAAAUGCAGAGGUGUGGGCACGAAGGAAACAGACUCCAGCUGCAGAAGAGAGACGCCGCAAAAUCAGAGUGACACAGCUGUGCUUGCAGGGAAUGUGGGGACAGACGGCGUGUCCACCAGCAGCGUCGCAGGCCACUCUCGGCACCUGCACCCCUGCCUUCUGCCUCUCCUUCUGCCUCAGCACCACAGAGCAUAGCCCUGCGCCUAGAAGGCUCUUCCACACCAACACACCCCCCUCCCGGGGCCAACUCUCACUCAGCCCUCAGGCCAUGGUGGGCCGUCACUUCCUCGGGGAGGCUCCUGAGGCCUCGCUUGGUCCAGAGGCGUCCCGGGGGCCUUCCUUAGAGAGCAAGACAGAGAGCCUGGCGUCAUUCCUCUCGAAGGCUGACUGACGUGCCUAAUCGCACACUCCGUGUCUGUCCAGCAGAGUGUAAGCUCGACCGGGGACGGGUCCCUGUGGGUCUUGGCCCAGCUCUCAAGGCAACGUCUGACACAGAAGAGCUCAAUAACUUUUUACUACCGUCGCGUGAAUCAGUAAGGGCGCCUCUUAGCACCGUAGAGGAUAAACCGUCUUCCUCUUUCCGUCGGUGACUCGCACGCUCUUUUUAUCUUUACGCUCCCAAAGCCGUCCUUCUCGGAGAAAGCGAGACAUUUCAGCGUGAUCUCUUUGUCAGGGUAUCUCGUUCAAACCGACUCUGCUGGGCUGUCCGUCUGCCAUCCCCCUGCACUAAAACCCCUGGGAGGAGACACUGUGGGCAGCGGCGGGAACAGACCUUGGAAUCUGCAUCCUGGGGCCUAAAUGCAGG